GGAAGUAAAAGUCGUAACAAGGUUUCCGUAGGUGAACCUGCGGAAGGAUCAUUAUCGUAGGGCGCUCGCGCCCUUCGAGAUAGCACCCUUUGUCUAUGAGCACCUCUUGUUUCCUCGGCAGGCCCGCCUGCCAACGGGGACCCAAAACAAACCCAUUGCAGUGAAGAAGUACACGUCUGAAGAAAACAAAAACAAACUAUUUACAACUUUUAACAACGGAUCUCUUGGUUCUGGCAUCGAUGAAGAACGCAGCGAAAUGCGAUAAGUAGUGUGAAUUGCAGAAUUCAGUGAAUCAUCGAAUCUUUGAACGCACAUUGCGCCCUUUGGUAUUCCUUAGGGCAUGCCUGUUCGAGCGUCAUUUCAACCCUCAAGCCUAGCUUGGUGUUGGGCGUUUGUCCCGCCUCCGCGCGCCUGGACUCGCCUCAAAAGCAUUGGCGGCCGGUUCCCAGCAGGCCACGAGCGCAGCAGAGCACGCGCUGAAGUGGCUGCGGGUCGGCGUACCAUAAAGCCCCCCCACAUCAGAAGUUUGACCUCGGAUCAGGUAGGGAUACCCGCUGAACUUAAGCAUAUCAAUAAGCGGAGGA
This 584-nucleotide ribosomal RNA is filed under the name Pteris vittata (Chinese brake). Its description in RNAcentral is "eukaryotic LSU rRNA". The stretch from base 205 to 358 matches the Rfam family "5.8S ribosomal RNA". Lineage: Eukaryota; Viridiplantae; Streptophyta; Polypodiopsida; Polypodiales; Pteridaceae. The record is from RNAcentral.